UACUAGAGUAGCACUCGCAUAUCAAUAAGCGGAGGAAAAGAAACUAACAAGGAUUCCCCUAGUAACGGCGAGUGAAGCGGGAAGAGCUCAAAUUUGAAAUCUUAAAGGGUUUCCCUUUACGAAUUGUAGUUCAAAGAAGUGUUUUCUGUUGAGGUUUUGGUAAAAGUUCUUUGGAAUAGGACAUCAUAGAGGGUGAGAAUCCCGUAUUUGACCUUUACUUUCAACUUUGUGAUACACUUUCAAAGAGUCAGAUUGUUUGGGAAUGCAGUCCAAAAUGGGUGGUAAAUUUCAUCUAAAGCUAAAUAUUGGCGAGAGACCGAUAGCGAACAAGUACCGUGAGGGAAAGAUGAAAAGGACUUUGAAAAGAGAGUUAAACAGUACGCGAAAUUGUCAAAAGGGAAGCGUUUGACACCAGUGUUGUUUUUCUGAAAAUCAAUUAAAGAACUGUUUAUGCUAAGUUGUUUAGACUUUAUCAGCUAUACUGCUUAGUUUUGAGCUUUUCUUUAAUGCACUUUUCAGUUAACAAGUCAACAUCAAUUCCUUUUGCUGUAAAAAAGCUUGAGGAAGGUGGCUUGAGAUUCGUCUUAAGUGUUUAUAGCCUCUUGCCUAUGCAGUCGGAGAGAUUGAGGUCUGCAGCGUAGAUCCUUCGGGGCUAAAUGCAUUUGUGCUAAGUUAUAGGCAUUUUAUAGACAACUUGUUGACUAUGAUUUGUCUUGUAGCUUACUCGCUUAUGUUAUUUUACCUACGCUUAGGAUGUUGAACUCUAUCACACACAG
RNAcentral lists this ribosomal RNA (776 nucleotides) under uncultured Neocallimastigales. RNAcentral describes it as "partial large subunit ribosomal RNA". It matches the Rfam family "Eukaryotic large subunit ribosomal RNA", at positions 20 to 621 of the family's 3401-position model. The record is from RNAcentral. Lineage: Eukaryota; Fungi; Neocallimastigomycota; Neocallimastigomycetes; Neocallimastigales.